Molecule: long non-coding RNA, 260 nt
Filed under: Helianthus annuus (common sunflower)
Lineage: Eukaryota; Viridiplantae; Streptophyta; Magnoliopsida; Asterales; Asteraceae
Description: sRNA HanXRQr2_Chr08g0340541
Source: RNAcentral
UUGGAGAAAAGAGUUUAAUGAUACAGAUUUAUCAAGCCAUUGUACCCAUAGGUACAAAAUAUACGUUGAAGGAAACGCAUGGUGUGAAUGUGUAUAGCUGACGCUUGACAGUUUGUUUUCGGUAAUUUACGAAUUUGGUAGUAUUUAAAAAGCAAACAUCUGCGUUUCGCUUUUAUUGUUUUCAUUAUAUUGAGCCGCCAAUAAUGGAUGUUAAACCGUCAUUUAUGGAAUAGUUUAAAUAUUUAAUGACCUAUUUAUUU